Molecule: ribosomal RNA, 460 nt
Filed under: uncultured bacterium
Lineage: Bacteria
Description: partial 16S ribosomal RNA
Rfam family: Bacterial small subunit ribosomal RNA
Source: RNAcentral
CCUACGGGCAGCAGUAGUGAGGAAUAUUGGUCAAUGGACGAGAGUCUGAACCAGCCAAGUAGCGUGAAGGAUGACUGCCCUAUGGGUUGUAAACUUCUUUUAUAUGGGAAUAAAAUGUUCCACGUGUGGGAUUUUGUAUGUACCAUAUGAAUAAGGAUCGGCUAACUCCGUGCCAGCAGCCGCGGUAAUACGGAGGAUCCGAGCGUUAUCCGGAUUUAUUGGGUUUAAAGGGAGCGUAGGUGGAUUGUUAAGUCCGUUGUGAAAGUUUGCGGCUCAACCGUAAAAUUGCAGUUGAAACUGGCAGUCUUGAGUACAGUAGAGGUGGGCGGAAUCCGUGGUGUAGCGGUGAAAUGCUUAGAUAUCACGAAGAACUCCGAUUGCGAAGGCAGUUCACUGGACUGCAACUGACACUGAGGCUCGAAAGUGUGGGUAUCAAACAGGAUUAGAUAUCCUAGUAGUC